Molecule: long non-coding RNA, 572 nt
Filed under: Ricinus communis (castor bean)
Lineage: Eukaryota; Viridiplantae; Streptophyta; Magnoliopsida; Malpighiales; Euphorbiaceae
Description: long non-coding RNA (RCOM_LNC000293)
Source: RNAcentral
UUACUUUGUUAUCCUAUAACUUUUGGUAAGUAUUUAAUAGACUAAACUUUGUGUAUAUUAAGUAGGGACUGCUGUUUGAUUACUUGAUAAUUUCUUGGUUGACUGAGUUGAUAUUAGUUAUGUUUUUGGCUUGUUAUAAAGUGAAUUGAUUGUGAUUUGUUGUGAAGUGAAUUGAUUGUGAUGUGUUGUGAAGUGAAAUGAUUGUGAUUAAGGAUUGAUGACUUUUGUAUGGAUAUUGUGUGAUCGGGAAAGCUGAGCCGGGCGGAUAGCUACCCGAGUAUGUGAGAUGGCAAGACUGAGCCGGGCGGAUAGUCUUGUCAAGUGGUUACUCAAAUUUAAAAAUGUGAGGAAAUGUAAGGAUGAGUCAUCUGAUCCUAAUUUGAUAGAAAUAAUGUGGAAUUGAAUUAUUUGACUUGGUUGAGUUUGAAAUUAUUUGCAUUACGUGAGAUGAAAUUAUAUGUUUAUGAGAAUAACUGAAAUGGUUGAUUUUGUGAUUAUUAGUUAAGUGUUGGUAUAAUUUUCUGUAUUGAUAAAGAUUUGAUAAUUCUAGCCUAAUAUACUAUAGUUUAGUA